RNAcentral lists this ribosomal RNA (350 nucleotides) under uncultured fungus. Its description in RNAcentral is "SSU rRNA". It matches the Rfam family "Eukaryotic small subunit ribosomal RNA", at positions 1474 to 1823 of the family's 1831-position model. Lineage: Eukaryota; Fungi. The record is from RNAcentral.
GCGAAGUCUGGGCGCCGCGCGCUACACUGAUCAGUCAACGAGUUUACAACCUUGGCCGGAAGGUCUGGGUAAUCUUUUGAAACUUGAUCGUGCUGGGGAUAGUCCAUUGCAAUUAUUGGACUUCAACGAGGAAUUCCUAGUAAGCGUGAGUCAUCAGCUCGCGUUGAUUACGUCCCUGCCCUUUGUACACACCGCCCGUCGCUACUACCGAUUGAAUGGCUUAGUGAGGCUUUCGGAUUGGAUCUGAGCAGCUGGCAACAGCAGCUUGGAACUGAAAAGUUAUCCAAACUUGGUCAUUUAGAGGAAGUAAAAGUCGUAACAAGGUUUCCGUAGGUGACCCCUGCGGAAAC